This 323-nucleotide ribosomal RNA is filed under the name uncultured bacterium. Its description in RNAcentral is "bacterial SSU rRNA". It matches the Rfam family "Bacterial small subunit ribosomal RNA", at positions 28 to 334 of the family's 1533-position model. The record is from RNAcentral.
GAUGAACGCUGGCGGCGUGCUUAACACAUGCAAGUCGAACGGGACUUACUUUAUUGAAACUUCGGUCGAUUUAAUUUAAGUCUAGUGGCGGACGGGUGAGUAACGCGUGGGUAACCUGCCUCACACUAGGGGAUAACAGUCAGAAAUGACUGCUAAUACCGCAUAAGCGCACAGCAUCGCAUGAUGCAGGGGUAAAAGAUUUAUCGGUGUGAGAUGGAUCCGCGUCUGAUUAGCCAGUUGGCGGGGUAACGGCCCACCAAAGCGACGAUCAGUAGCCGGCCUGAGAGGGUGAACGGCCACAUUGGGACUGAGACACGGCCCAG